This 1359-nucleotide ribosomal RNA is filed under the name Microbacterium laevaniformans. Its description in RNAcentral is "bacterial SSU rRNA". It matches the Rfam family "Bacterial small subunit ribosomal RNA", at positions 67 to 1436 of the family's 1533-position model. Lineage: Bacteria; Bacillati; Actinomycetota; Actinomycetes; Micrococcales; Microbacteriaceae. The record is from RNAcentral.
CGGUGAAGCCCAGCUUGCUGGGUGGAUCAGUGGCGAACGGGUGAGUAACACGUGAGCAAUCUGCCCCUGACUCUGGGAUAAGCGCUGGAAACGGCGUCUAAUACUGGAUACGAACCGUGGAGGCAUCUUCAACGGUUGGAAAGAUUUUUUGGUCAGGGAUGAGCUCGCGGCCUAUCAGCUUGUUGGUGAGGUAAUGGCUCACCAAGGCGUCGACGGGUAGCCGGCCUGAGAGGGUGACCGGCCACACUGGGACUGAGACACGGCCCAGACUCCUACGGGAGGCAGCAGUGGGGAAUAUUGCACAAUGGGCGAAAGCCUGAUGCAGCAACGCCGCGUGAGGGAUGACGGCCUUCGGGUUGUAAACCUCUUUUAGCAGGGAAGAAGCGAAAGUGACGGUACCUGCAGAAAAAGCGCCGGCUAACUACGUGCCAGCAGCCGCGGUAAUACGUAGGGCGCAAGCGUUAUCCGGAAUUAUUGGGCGUAAAGAGCUCGUAGGCGGUUUGUCGCGUCUGCUGUGAAAUCCCGAGGCUCAACUUCGGGUCUGCAGUGGGUACGGGCAGACUAGAGUGCGGUAGGGGAGAUUGGAAUUCCUGGUGUAGCGGUGGAAUGCGCAGAUAUCAGGAGGAACACCGAUGGCGAAGGCAGAUCUCUGGGCCGUAACUGACGCUGAGGAGCGAAAGGGUGGGGAGCAAACAGGCUUAGAUACCCUGGUAGUCCACCCCGUAAACGUUGGGAACUAGUUGUGGGGUCCAUUCCACGGAUUCCGUGACGCAGCUAACGCAUUAAGUUCCCCGCCUGGGGAGUACGGCCGCAAGGCUAAAACUCAAAGGAAUUGACGGGGACCCGCACAAGCGGCGGAGCAUGCGGAUUAAUUCGAUGCAACGCGAAGAACCUUACCAAGGCUUGACAUAUACGAGAACGCUGCAGAAAUGUAGAACUCUUUGGACACUCGUAAACAGGUGGUGCAUGGUUGUCGUCAGCUCGUGUCGUGAGAUGUUGGGUUAAGUCCCGCAACGAGCGCAACCCUCGUUCUAUGUUGCCAGCACGUAAUGGUGGGAACUCAUGGGAUACUGCCGGGGUCAACUCGGAGGAAGGUGGGGAUGACGUCAAAUCAUCAUGCCCCUUAUGUCUUGGGCUUCACGCAUGCUACAAUGGCCGGUACAAAGGGCUGCAAUACCGUGAGGUGGAGCGAAUCCCAAAAAGCCGGUCCCAGUUCGGAUUGAGGUCUGCAACUCGACCUCAUGAAGUCGGAGUCGCUAGUAAUCGCAGAUCAGCAACGCUGCGGUGAAUACGUUCCCGGGUCUUGUACACACCGCCCGUCAAGUCAUGAAAGUCGGUAACACCUGAAGCCGGUGGCCC